GCUGCGAUAGCUCAGUCGGUAGAGCAUGAGCCUCUUAAUCUCAGAAUCAUGGAUUUGAGCCCCAUGUGGGGUA
This is a non-coding RNA of Podarcis lilfordi (Lilford's wall lizard), 73 nucleotides long. Lineage: Eukaryota; Metazoa; Chordata; Lepidosauria; Squamata; Lacertidae. The record is from the annotation of a GenBank genome assembly.